CCUACGGGAGGCAGCAGUGAGGAAUAUUGGUCAAUGGACGAGAGUCUGAACCAGCCAAGUAGCGUGAAGGAUGACUGCCCUAUGGGUUGUAAACUUCUUUUAUAUGGGAAUAAAAUGUUCCACGUGUGGGUUUUUGUAUGUACCAUAUGAAUAAGGAUCGGCUAACUCCGUGCCAGCAGCCGCGGUAAUACGGAGGAUCCGAGCGUUAUCCGGAUUUAUUGGGUUUAAAGGGAGCGUAGGUGGAUUGUUAAGUAAGUUGUGAAAGUUUGCGGCUCAACCGUAAAAUUGCAGUUGAAACUGGCAGUCUUGAGUACAGUAGAGGUGGGCGGAAUUCGUGGUGUAGCGGUGAAAUGCUUAGAUAUCACGAAGAACUCCGAUUGCGAAGGCAGCUCACUGGACUGCAACUGACACUGAGGCUCGAAAGUGUGGGUAUCAAACAGGAUUAGAUACCCCUGUAGUC
This 460-nucleotide ribosomal RNA is filed under the name uncultured bacterium. RNAcentral's name for it is "partial 16S ribosomal RNA". It matches the Rfam family "Bacterial small subunit ribosomal RNA", at positions 338 to 795 of the family's 1533-position model. The record is from RNAcentral.